This 73-nucleotide transfer RNA is filed under the name Neotoma lepida (desert woodrat). It matches the Rfam family "tRNA". Rfam says of the family: Transfer RNA (tRNA) molecules are approximately 80 nucleotides in length. Their secondary structure includes four short double-helical elements and three loops (D, anti-codon, and T loops). Lineage: Eukaryota; Metazoa; Chordata; Mammalia; Rodentia; Cricetidae. The record is from Rfam by way of RNAcentral.
GGAAAGAUGGCUUAGUGGUUAAAAUCACUUGCUGCUCUUGAAGAGGACCUGGGUUUAAUUCCCAGUCUCUACA